UACGUAGGGUGCAAGCGUUGUCCGGAAUUAUUGGGCGUAAAGAGCUCGUAGGCGGCUUAGAAAGUCAGGUGUGAAAACUCUGGGCUUAACCCAGAGACGCCACUUGAUACUUCUAUGGCUUGAGUUCGGUAGGGGACCAUGGAAUUCCUGGUGUAGCGGUGAAAUGCGCAGAUAUCAGGAGGAACACCGAUGGCGAAGGCAGUGGUCUGGGCCGAUACUGACGCUGAGGAGCGAAAGCGUGGGGAGCGAACAGG
Molecule: ribosomal RNA, 254 nt
Filed under: uncultured bacterium
Lineage: Bacteria
Description: partial 16S ribosomal RNA
Rfam family: Bacterial small subunit ribosomal RNA
Source: RNAcentral